This 494-nucleotide long non-coding RNA is filed under the name Cucumis sativus (cucumber). RNAcentral describes it as "long non-coding RNA (CSAT_LNC000475)". Lineage: Eukaryota; Viridiplantae; Streptophyta; Magnoliopsida; Cucurbitales; Cucurbitaceae. The record is from RNAcentral.
CAUGAUUGUAUGAGUGGUUUGUCGAAUCUAUGUCUAUUUAUCUUCAAUUGGUCCCACCAUGCCGAGGCUCCUCCUUUCAAUUUCAGAGCCAUAAGUUCUCGGUGUUUUUUAUCCAAUCCAAGAAAGAUUUGAUAUCUCGUUUACCAUUAUAGGUUGGGAGGUCAAUUUUCAUUUUGUAGUCGUGAUGAAUCUCUCGUCAUGCUUUAUGUCCUCUAUAGCCAUAAGCCAUUCGAUAUUCUCCGUUGUCGUUCCAAAUAUUUCCUUGGUCGUCGCCAUUGGAAGAAUCAUAAUCUUGCACGUUUUGCCACUCCUCGUCGUCAUCUUGCUCAUCAUCGUCGGCGUGUCGUAGUGGGAUUCCUCCUGGUCUCCUUCUUUGAUCAUUUCUUUGGUUGGGCCAGUUUCUAAGGUUCCUUUGAGCCCGUCAGCCACCUCUGUUUCCUGCCUUCCAGUCAUAAUCCUCGUUCCUUGUCGGUGCCGGUAGUUCAUCCAUUCUU